CAAAAACAUUGCCUCAUGUUCCUCUCAUAUGAGGUACCUCCUGCCCAGUGACGAAUUCAACGGCCGCAGUACCCUGACUGUGCAAAGGUAGCAUAAUCAUUUGCCUUUUAAUUGAAGGCUGGAAUGAACGGACCCACGUAAAUAAAGCUGUCUCUACUGUACCAAUAUAAACUAGACCUUAGGCGAAAUUACCUAAAUUUUAAUAAAGGACAAAAAGACCCUAUAGAGCUGCAUUCGUCAGAAUGGAUAAAAUACCAAAUAUUAUACCUACUCCUAAUGAAUUUUGUUGGGGCGACAAAGGAAUAUUCAAAUCUUCCUUAAUUUCUAAGACUCCCCCGUCUUACCCAAGAUCCUCUUAAGAUCAAAGGAAAAAGCUACCUUAGGGAUAACAGGCUAAUCCUUUUAAAGAGUCCACAUUGACAAAAGGGAUUGGCACCUCGAUGUUGGCUUAAG
RNAcentral lists this ribosomal RNA (453 nucleotides) under Glycera sp. B ZW-2021. Its description in RNAcentral is "partial large subunit ribosomal RNA". It matches the Rfam family "Bacterial large subunit ribosomal RNA", at positions 1808 to 2541 of the family's 2925-position model. The record is from RNAcentral. Lineage: Eukaryota; Metazoa; Annelida; Polychaeta; Phyllodocida; Glyceridae.